RNAcentral lists this non-coding RNA (31 nucleotides) under Homo sapiens (human). Lineage: Eukaryota; Metazoa; Chordata; Mammalia; Primates; Hominidae. The record is from RNAcentral.
UGCAAGCCUAGCUGCCGAAACUGCCGGCUGU